UCUGGCAUUUACACCUGUGCAGGUUUGAAUUUGCUUCUUAUCACCUUGAUCAUGAAUUUCUGGUGUGAACAUUAUUUUGUAUAGGAAGUUCCAAGCUGUUGAGGGAUUUAUAACUGACAAAACUUUAAAAUGGAAAAAGGAAAUCAUAUUUAGUCCAGAGAUUCUAAUUUAUGAAACUUUCAUUGGCUUGCAUGCCAUCAUCCAGCUGGUCUGAUGCUUGUGUAAAAAUAUCUAUGCAUUACAAAGGUUCUCUGCCUUAACAAGGUUAGGAGGUGAAGACUGUCUGUAGGGCACUUGCCAAACUUAGUCAUAGAAGUCCUAGUGACUUUCUCGGGUUCUUGCUAUUUGCACCAGCCCUGGGGUUAGAACGACUAUCACUGAAAAAGGAAAUUGGCUAUACCACGUAACAGCUUAUUUGACUAGUGCUAUACUGCUAUUUGUGAAAUGAUUUCUAGGUCAUGAGUUCUUAAUAUAUUUUACAAACAGUCUGAUUCAUUGAGGUUGAAUGAAUAUCUUUUAAAUGAAAUAUGUUUUCAGGUUGAAAUCAGCAUUUUUAUUUUCAUGUUAAAUGUGUAAAUUUGAUCUAUUUGUGAACCAUUUCAAUAGAAGUCUCAAUUUCCGGGUAAAUCUUGCUUAUCAUUCUUUUGGCCUAGAUGUGCCUCCAAAGGUCAUUGUUUUUGAGCUUAGUGUUGAUGAAGCUAUGAUUAUUAGACUACUAUCUUUCAGGUUGGACAUUCAUGAUUUUUAACUCAUUGUUUCUCAAGUAGAACUGGAAGUUACAGUUCUGUGCUUGCUCCUAGUCCUUGAGUCUAUUGUUAAGGGUGUUCAUUGUUGAGAUAGACCUUAGGUUUGAAUCUUAUUUAUACUGAAUGAGAGAUGAGAUAUGGAGCCACAAGGUUGGGGGUUUGAUGGUGGAUAAAACUAGUUGGAUUUUGUCGUGUGCAUGAGUUUGAUUGCAAUGCUGUGAAUUGUUAAUACUCUUGUUUGAAGGAAGCUUUGACCAUGCAAAGUUCUAGUAAC
This 1020-nucleotide unclassified non-coding RNA is filed under the name Hevea brasiliensis (rubber tree). Lineage: Eukaryota; Viridiplantae; Streptophyta; Magnoliopsida; Malpighiales; Euphorbiaceae. The record is from RNAcentral.